RNAcentral lists this transfer RNA (84 nucleotides) under Trichoderma atroviride IMI 206040. It matches the Rfam family "tRNA". From Rfam's summary of the family: Transfer RNA (tRNA) molecules are approximately 80 nucleotides in length. Their secondary structure includes four short double-helical elements and three loops (D, anti-codon, and T loops). The record is from Rfam by way of RNAcentral. Lineage: Eukaryota; Fungi; Ascomycota; Sordariomycetes; Hypocreales; Hypocreaceae.
UCCGAUAUGGUGUAGUGGCUAACAUCGCUCGCUCUCAAUAAAUAUUGAACCGAGCAGCCCUGGGUUCGAUUCCCAGUAUCGGAG